UACGGAGGAUCCGAGCGUUAUCCGGAUUUAUUGGGUUUAAAGGGUGCGUAGGCGGUUUGAUAAGUUAGAGGUGAAAUGUCGGGGCUCAACCCCGAAACUGCCUCUAAUACUGUUGGACUAGAGAAUAGUUGCGGUAGGCGGAAUGUAUGGUGUAGCGGUGAAAUGCUUAGAUAUCACGAAGAACUCCGAUUGCGAAGGCAGCUCACUGGACUGCAACUGACACUGAGGCUCGAAAGUGUGGGUAUCAAACAGG
Molecule: ribosomal RNA, 253 nt
Filed under: uncultured Rikenellaceae bacterium
Lineage: Bacteria; Pseudomonadati; Bacteroidota; Bacteroidia; Bacteroidales; Rikenellaceae
Description: partial 16S ribosomal RNA
Rfam family: Bacterial small subunit ribosomal RNA
Source: RNAcentral